GUGCAGGAUAAGUUAUGGAUCAGCUUAUGUGGUGCUGGUUUGUCGUUCCCCCCUGCAAAAAUAUAAAUCUUCUUUACUAUCCCUGACUGUCUACAUCCCAGAACUUUCAGGGAUGCUUGGAUUCAAACAU
This 130-nucleotide small nucleolar RNA is filed under the name Astyanax mexicanus (Mexican tetra). RNAcentral describes it as "Small nucleolar RNA SNORA63 (ENSAMXG00000038203.1)". The record is from RNAcentral. Lineage: Eukaryota; Metazoa; Chordata; Actinopteri; Characiformes; Acestrorhamphidae.